This 676-nucleotide ribosomal RNA is filed under the name Salmonella enterica subsp. enterica serovar Infantis. RNAcentral's name for it is "bacterial SSU rRNA". It matches the Rfam family "Bacterial small subunit ribosomal RNA", at positions 839 to 1515 of the family's 1533-position model. RNAcentral also lists the same sequence under 2 other names. The record is from RNAcentral. Lineage: Bacteria; Pseudomonadati; Pseudomonadota; Gammaproteobacteria; Enterobacterales; Enterobacteriaceae.
GUGGCUUCCGGAGCUAACGCGUUAAGUAGACCGCCUGGGGAGUACGGCCGCAAGGUUAAAACUCAAAUGAAUUGACGGGGGCCCGCACAAGCGGUGGAGCAUGUGGUUUAAUUCGAUGCAACGCGAAGAACCUUACCUGGUCUUGACAUCCACAGAAGAAUCCAGAGAUGGAUUUGUGCCUUCGGGAACUGUGAGACAGGUGCUGCAUGGCUGUCGUCAGCUCGUGUUGUGAAAUGUUGGGUUAAGUCCCGCAACGAGCGCAACCCUUAUCCUUUGUUGCCAGCGGUCCGGCCGGGAACUCAAAGGAGACUGCCAGUGAUAAACUGGAGGAAGGUGGGGAUGACGUCAAGUCAUCAUGGCCCUUACGACCAGGGCUACACACGUGCUACAAUGGCGCAUACAAAGAGAAGCGACCUCGCGAGAGCAAGCGGACCUCAUAAAGUGCGUCGUAGUCCGGAUUGGAGUCUGCAACUCGACUCCAUGAAGUCGGAAUCGCUAGUAAUCGUGGAUCAGAAUGCCACGGUGAAUACGUUCCCGGGCCUUGUACACACCGCCCGUCACACCAUGGGAGUGGGUUGCAAAAGAAGUAGGUAGCUUAACCUUCGGGAGGGCGCUUACCACUUUGUGAUUCAUGACUGGGGUGAAGUCGUAACAAGGUAACCGUAGGGGAACCUGC